Molecule: long non-coding RNA, 574 nt
Organism: Haliotis rubra (blacklip abalone)
Lineage: Eukaryota; Metazoa; Mollusca; Gastropoda; Lepetellida; Haliotidae
Exons: 2
Source: RefSeq, a predicted model, not a curated record
CCUUGGGUGGCACAGAAUGACACAGUCACACCAGGAGUUUGGUACACACAGAAAGGGGGGACGGUGUACGCCAUUGUGCUCAACUGGCCACAACCAGGUCAACUCAUCCUUGGAUCAGCUUUGCCAAAAACUGGAAUGAAAGUCAGCCUUCUUGGCUACACUGAAGGCUCCUUCUCCUGGCAGAAUGCUUCACCCAAAGGAAUCAGCAUUACAAUCCCUCCCAUCCCUGUCAACCAGAUGCCAUGUCAGUGGGCAUGGGUCUUCGCAAUGACAUAAACGGUUAAGAUCAGAAAAAUAUGGUUGACAAUGGGAUGGUUGACAAAUGGUUGACAAAUGAGGUGGGCCUUCACAAUGAUAUACAUGUUGACAAUUGAAUAGUGGACCUUUUCAAUAACAUAAUUUGUUGACAAUGACAUGUCCAGUUAAUGGGAUGAAUCUUCAAAAUGAAAUGGCUGAUAAUGGGAUGUACCAAAUGGACAUGUUUAAAUUUGCUAUUUAACUUAAAUUCAUGAGCUUCAAAUGUUGUUGUUUUCAUAAUAAAGUUAAUGCUGCUUGUACUGCAUAUAUGAACAUU